UCCUCCGUGGCGCAAUUGGCUAGCGCGUCUGACUGUUAUAUCUGAGCUUCACAGCUCACGAUGGGCAUCAGGAGGUUGACAGUUCAAGCCUGUCCGGGGGAG
Non-coding RNA from Microdochium trichocladiopsis, 102 nucleotides. The record is from the annotation of a RefSeq genome assembly. NCBI's taxonomy places the organism in Eukaryota, Fungi, Ascomycota, Sordariomycetes, Xylariales, Microdochiaceae.